Molecule: ribosomal RNA, 420 nt
Filed under: uncultured bacterium
Lineage: Bacteria
Description: bacterial SSU rRNA
Rfam family: Bacterial small subunit ribosomal RNA
Source: RNAcentral
GAGGAAUAUUGGUCAAUGGACGAGAGUCUGAUCCAGCCAUGCCGCGUGCAGGAAGACGGCCCUAUGGGUUGUAAACUGCUUUUGUAUGGGAGCAAUAAGGGCUACGUGUAGUCCGAUGAGAGUACCAUACGAAUAAGCACCGGCUAACUCCGUGCCAGCAGCCGCGGUAAUACGGAGGGUGCAAGCGUUAUCCGGAUUUAUUGGGUUUAAAGGGUGCGUAGGCGGUUUGAUAAGUCAGCGGUGAAAUAUUUCAGCUUAACUGGAAGGGUGCCGUUGAUACUGUCGAGCUUGAAUUUAGUUGCUGUGGGUGGAAUGUGUGGUGUAGCGGUGAAAUGCAUAGAUAUCACACAGAAUAUCGAUUGCGAAGGCAGCUCACAAAGCUAAUAUUGACGCUGAUGCACGAAAGUGUGGGGAUCAAAC